Molecule: long non-coding RNA, 1113 nt
Organism: Gallus gallus (chicken)
Lineage: Eukaryota; Metazoa; Chordata; Aves; Galliformes; Phasianidae
Source: Ensembl
AACCAGCGAGGAGGUCAAUGCGCCUGCCCCUCAGGUGAGGCAUGGCAGAGGAGGGCAGCCAGUUGCCAUUGUGAGGCAAAGGUUCAAAAUCCAUCAAACUUGAGAGAAGCCUCCAGACCUGGCAAGACUUUCGGUUAGAAAGCGUGGGGCACAUGAAGGGCCUUCUAUCUUGUGGGUGAACAGCAAGAACCAACAAGCUGAGGAUACAACCCACUAAUCGAUUCUGUGCCUCAUUACACUUUCUAAUUCAGGAUCCCUGCUUAAUAUAGAGCUGUUCUUCAACAGAACUGUGAUAAGAUUUGUCUGUUGGUAUCAUGGGACUGGGAUAUGGGAAGAGCCAGAUUAGGAGAAGGAAGAAGAAAGCACGUCAUUGCUGCAAGGCACAGCUGGGUUGCUGUGUCCCACGGAGUAGGGGGACCUGCCAACUUCCCUGAAGGUCCACCAGGAGCUGCAUCUGACCUGAAAGGAGGCACUUCACAACAAGGUGCAUUCCACCCAGGGCCAUUCUCUCUCCUUGCUCACCAUCUUGGUGACGCUUUGAAAAAGGGACCAGUGAUGUCUCCUCUCACCCUGGCCAGUACAGCCAGUGCCUGGUGGUGACCAAGCCAUCUGCAUGACCAAGCAUGGAGCAGAUGGCCCAGGUGCCCAGCCCUAAUCCUUCCCUUCCCUUGCCAGCAUGGAAACAGCUUUCUCUAUCUGAUGUAAACCUCAGUAGGUAUAGAACAGUGAGAAAGAUAAAAUGGGUAUGGAAAAUGCUAAGGUGAUCUGGAUCUAGGGGAGGAAGUCAAGAAGAGAGUGGAGUUAAGGUGCUGAACUACUGCAUAGGCAUUGUGCAACUCUGGCACUGCUUCAGCCUCUACUUGAGGCCAAGUUCCACCAUUACAGAUGAAGCCAUAAACCAGGGCUGAUCCAAGCACAGCCACCACACAUGGUAUUUCUCCCAUAGUCCUCCCAGUAGUUCUGAAGAACCCAGGAAACUCAAUUAAAGAUUUUAUGACUAUUACUCCUGGUUAUUUCAUCACCUAGGAAAAAAAAAUCCCAGCCCCAAACCAGACUUACAAAUAAGAUAGCUGGUUUUAUGGACACUACCAUAUGGUUGAGCUGGGUUUUGCC